This 347-nucleotide ribosomal RNA is filed under the name uncultured bacterium. Its description in RNAcentral is "partial 16S ribosomal RNA". It matches the Rfam family "Bacterial small subunit ribosomal RNA", at positions 338 to 682 of the family's 1533-position model. The record is from RNAcentral.
CCUACGGGAGGCAGCAGUGAGGAAUAUUGGUCAAUGGGCGCGAGCCUGAACCAGCCAAGUAGCGUGAAGGAUGACUGCCCUACGGGUUGUAAACUUCUUUUAUAAAGGAAUAAAGUGAGGCACGUGUGCCUUUUUGUAUGUACUUUAUGAAUAAGGAUCGGCUAACUCCGUGCCAGCAGCCGCGGUAAUACGGAGGAGCCGAGCGUUAUCCGGAUUGAGUGGGGUUAAAGGGAGCGUAGAGGGGUUGUUAAGUCAGUUGUGAAAGUUUGCGGCUCAACCGUAAAAUUGCAUUUGAUACUGGCAGCCUUGUGUACAGUUGCGGUAGGCGGACUUCGUGGUGUAGCCGU